Molecule: ribosomal RNA, 253 nt
Filed under: uncultured bacterium
Lineage: Bacteria
Description: partial 16S ribosomal RNA
Rfam family: Bacterial small subunit ribosomal RNA
Source: RNAcentral
UACGUAGGUGGCAAGCGUUGUCCGGAUUUACUGGGCGUAAAGAGCGCGCAGGCGGUCGUUCAAGUCGCGUGUGAAAGCCCCCGGCUCAACUGGGGAGGGUCACGCGAUACUGAUCGACUCGAAGGCAGGAGAGGGAAGUGGAAUUCCCGGUGUAGUGGUGAAAUGCGUAGAUAUCGGGAGGAACACCAGUGGCGAAGGCGACUUCCUGGCCUGUUCUUGGCGCUGAGGCGCGAAAGCUAGGGGAGCAAACGGG